GCUCCCAGAGGUAUGCAAAGGAGAUGACUCAACACCGCUCCGAUCAUGAUCCUACAAGCACCUUGGGGGGUUGGUCUUGAUGGUGUUACCUGAAGCAGUGCAAAUACGACUCCUCAGACAGUGACCCGCUUACCUUGCUUCAAGGAGAGGAAGGAAUCAGACAAGGAUCAGAAUCUGCCAGCUGAAGGACCAGUGACAGGGUCUAUGCAAAAGGAGGAAUAAUGAAGAAGCAUGGCCACCAACUUUUGCUAGUCAAUACACUUCUGGUAGAGCCAGGCUUUGAGCACAACUUUUGGAUCACAGUUGUUUUCAUGGGGUUUUCAGACUCUCAAACUGCACCAGGACCCUGCAUAUUUUGUGGGCAAAACUGUACUUUUCUUACCCUGCCUGGAUUUCGAUGUUAAGGUCAAUUUUUAAAAGCAUGCAAAAACUCCCAGCCAACCUAUCUAAAGGUAAUUUAAUCUGCUUAUAUGACCCUAUGUGUAGAAAUACUUUUUUUUAAGGAGAGUGGUAGUGUCCAACCAGAACCACCAGUUUCAAACAACCUUAAGUAUCUCAGGAAAGCCCUCAAAAUUCUAUCUCUGUUGUGGAAUAGAAGUUACCUUCAGCUCAGGGCUUGUAUCUUGGCACACUCUUGGGUUUGCCUUUGAGCCCAGUUGAUGUCUGAAGAGACUCACCCAAGACUGCACAUUGGGGGUUCUACAGGUACAACAAGCUCAGAGGAGGGCAAACAGGUUUGCCAGGUUAGCAAGUGGAUUAACAGAGCUGUUCAUUCUAGGCCUGAGCACCAGGUGCAACAAAAUGAGGACUCUUGGCCUACAGAAUGUUGUUAUUGCCAGUAAUGAUAAUCCAUUAUACAGGCCUGAGGACAAGCCAAAUCCUGCUCACCCUCAUUCUGUGAUGAGAAACAAUACUGACAGCUGAGAAAAAAAGCAUGGUAUGUGCUGCUUUCUUAAUGGGAACAUCAUUUGGCUGAAUGACAUUCAGCUGCUCCUGAAGGAUUUGGGAAGCAAUGCUGUGAAUGUGCUGACUGCCAGGAAGGGUGGAAAAAGGAAGCUCCUUCUGAAAAGUGGGCUUCUCUUCAGCACCUUCUUUAAACGGCUGACUCACAUUUCAUUUGGUUUUU
Parus major (Great Tit) is the source of this 1126-nucleotide long non-coding RNA. RefSeq lists it as uncharacterized. NCBI's taxonomy places the organism in Eukaryota, Metazoa, Chordata, Aves, Passeriformes, Paridae. The record is from RefSeq and is a predicted model, not a curated record. The transcript has 3 exons.